This 395-nucleotide ribosomal RNA is filed under the name uncultured bacterium. RNAcentral's name for it is "partial 16S ribosomal RNA". It matches the Rfam family "Bacterial small subunit ribosomal RNA", at positions 338 to 730 of the family's 1533-position model. The record is from RNAcentral.
CCUACGGGAGGCAGCAGUGAGGAAUAUUGGUCAAUGGGCGGAAGCCUGAACCAGCCAAGCAGCGUGCAGGAUGACGGCCCUACGGGUUGUAAGUUGCUUUUAUACGGGAAUAACGUGCCUUACGUGUAGGGUUUUGCAUGUACCGUAUGAAUAAGGACCGGCUAAUUCCGUGACAGCAGCCGCGGUAAUACGGAAGGUCGGGGCGUUAACCGGAUUUAUUGGGUUUAAAGGGAGCGUAGGCCGGUUGUUAAGUGUGCUGUGAAAUUUCCGGGCCCAACCCUCGCCUUGCAGUGGAUACUGGCAAACUUGAGUCCGAUAAAGGCAGGCGGAAUUCGUUGUGUAGCGGUGAAAUGCUUAGAUAUGACGAAGAACACCGAUUGCGAAGGCAGCUUACU